UUAGUACACCCCUGUUUCAAAAUGGAUUCGUCCGGCUUCCCCACCACUUGGAUUCACAGCUCUUGCCAUAUAUGGGCAUAAAACGAAAGCGGCUCGCUGAUUGGUCGGUUGGCCGGCUGCCGGCUAGAUUCUCCAAAUGCCGCUUCAAACUGUACGAUACGGGGAGCAUAAUGCCUUCUGGAAGCGUACACUAGCUAAGGGCUUUCCUGACUAACCGUCAGAGCUGUUUGUAGUAGUAAACGUAUCAAUACGUACGAACGUAUAUGUGAAGAUUAUCACGUUCUUUGUGUGCGCGUGCUAGCGACCAGUACCGGCAGUAGGUAUGAGUCAGAAAAAGUUUUGUUAUAUACUUUGGAAUGGUCAACAUUUUUUUUCACUUGAUGCAAGUCGAAACAGUUGUCAUUGAGAUUUAAUGAUCCUCUACUCAUUCGUAAGCUUUCAUGGAAAUUCCUAUCUGUGAAAUAAUAUUAUGAAGUUCGUCGAAUUUAUAUUACGAUAUUUAAUGAAAUAGGAAUCAUGUUACUAAUCCUGGGACAUUUUUCACCUAAUUAUCAUUUACCAUUGAUUUCUUAAAUUUGAGGAAAACUCUUGUGAGAGAAUUCUUAUUCAUAGGACUGAUUUUUUGUUCAAAUUUUAUGCUAAAUUCUUUCCACAAGAAAAACUCGUAUUUCUUGAUAUACAUAACCUAUUUACUAUCUUGUUUACUUAAAAAUUUAUUAGCAAAAAUCAUAUUUCUUUCGCAUUAGUUAUAAUUACAUAACAUAUCUUGGCACUAGAUUUAUUCGUUAACCAGGAUAUGGUAUGGUUAUAUUUGAAGAAAGCGAAUCUUCGAACGAGAAAGGGUAACAAAUUGUCUUUCUCGUAAAAUUUAAUAAAAUAAUAUUCCGCCUUUACAACAUAGUCAAAUAGAAUAAGCUGGCGUUUGUAGAAGGUCAUUGAUGAUUUAUUUCCAAAAAAUUCAGUUACUGUGUCACUUUCAAUAUUAAUGAAUGUUAGUGACUCAUUGUAGUAAUAAUCUGCAUACCAUGUUUAGUACUACUUGUCUUCCUUUAAAAAAUUGCGCUAGAAGGAAAAUAAUUCGCAAGAAGGAUUUAGAAAGUCAGUAGGUCAGACUCCACUAUUUAUGCAUACUCAUUGUCUAGAUUUCGUUUUAGAGUAGGACAACUAAUGUCUGCUUAAAAGUUAACAUGUUUUUGAAGAAUUUUAAGGUAGGCUUAGACUAAGUAAUUAAAUGAUGUUCGUCCACCCACUUAUUGCGUGUGGUAUAUGUCAUCUCGGCCGCCUUUUUCAUACAACAGAAGCUAAAAAUAGACUCAAGGGCGCGGAUAAGGGUGCACUGGACUACUACCACGUCACGUAAGCCCUAUGCUUCGGCCCUAUUUCCUGUAUAUGUGUCGGUCCGACGGAAGGCGGCAUGGUGUGUGUGAGUGCAGUGUCUGCUUCAAAAUCGAUACGCGUGUUCGUGCAGUCUACGAUGGUACAUCGUACUUGUGCACGGAAACCACGUGGUGAAGGAAACGUCAAAAUAAACGGAUGGACUGCUUCAUCCAAGUCUAACCUAACCUCGAACAUCGAAGCCGGCACCCAGCUGUCACACGCACACAGCAUCUUUAUACACAUCGAUUUCGUGUAACUCCAUUGUCCUUUUAACCGCUCAGGUUUUUAUUAGACAAUAUGUUAUUUUACUCAACUAUAAUAUCAAAAGAUAAAUACAAUACAAUGGUAUCUAUGGAAA
Long non-coding RNA from Bombus pascuorum, 1735 nucleotides. RefSeq lists it as uncharacterized. The record is from RefSeq and is a predicted model, not a curated record. The transcript has 2 exons. Lineage: Eukaryota; Metazoa; Arthropoda; Insecta; Hymenoptera; Apidae.